UGGAUUAGGGACAACAAUUGGACCAUCGAUCAGAUCCUCGAAGAGUUCCCUCACCUAAUGACCAAAGGCAUGAUUGCACAGGCUUGUCCUGCAUGGGGAUGCUGCAUCAAAGUUGUUUGAAACUUGGUCACGUGAAAUGCCAGGAGGGGAGUCUAAAAUGGUAAAGUUUAUUCAAAGUAGAAUACUUGCUUGCAAGUAGAGCUAAUGGCUCUUAAUAGCAGCUUUUUAAUAGGAAUUUGAAUUUGUUCACUAUAGACCUGUUGAAUGUUCAGCCAGUUCAUUCGUAAUUGUUGUUUUGCUCUGAAUGUUUUCCUACCUGAGUAAUAUGAACUGCACCAGUUCCACUAUAUUGUUGAUAUAAUAAAUUUUUUUCAAAGAUUCCAUUAUGUUGUUUUGUUUUUGUAUUGUUUAAGUGUUUAUUAAAUAAUAUAUGCAUACA
This is a long non-coding RNA of Perca flavescens (yellow perch), 439 nucleotides long. RefSeq lists it as uncharacterized. The transcript is spliced from 2 exons. The record is from RefSeq and is a predicted model, not a curated record. NCBI's taxonomy places the organism in Eukaryota, Metazoa, Chordata, Actinopteri, Perciformes, Percidae.